CUAACACAUAAGAUGUGUGAAAACAAAGAGUUGUCAGCUUAAUGAUCUGUGAGUUGUAUGGAGAUAUAAUUGAUAAUAGUAUCUACCCAAAUAUUAUAUUAGGGCUUGUUGAGUACAUUCAAAGUCUUAAUAUAGUAGAUGGGAUCCCAGCCCACUGGGAGUCAAGCAUGGACUCCAUAAAUUUAUGUGAGAGGGUCAUAAAUUUUAUUUAAACAGUGGGAGCAUAAUUAAUUUAAUAAAAGCCCAUGUUAAAUUAAUUAAUGCAUUUUAUAUAUUUUAUUCUUUUCUUUUUCGUCAUUUACAUUUAUAUUGAAUCGUGAGUAACCAUGUGUUUUGAAUGGCAUACUAGAUGCCAACAACCAAACUAUAUUUUCUUAAUUGACACUGCAAUUUGAGAAUUGUUCUUAUGCAUGAGAAAAUUGGUCACGUCCUUGAAUAGCCCUUUCCAGAGAC
Molecule: long non-coding RNA, 453 nt
Filed under: Olea europaea (common olive)
Lineage: Eukaryota; Viridiplantae; Streptophyta; Magnoliopsida; Lamiales; Oleaceae
Description: long non-coding RNA (OEUR_LNC006306)
Source: RNAcentral